Small RNA from Klebsiella sp. RIT-PI-d, 95 nucleotides. It matches the Rfam family "sroE RNA". Rfam says of the family: This family consists of a number of bacterial sroE RNA genes of around 90 bases in length. sroE is found in several Enterobacterial species but its function is unknown. Lineage: Bacteria; Pseudomonadati; Pseudomonadota; Gammaproteobacteria; Enterobacterales; Enterobacteriaceae. The record is from Rfam.
AUAACAUGAUGGGAAGCGCUUAGCUUCCCGUGUAUGAUUGAACCCUUAUUGCUGAUCCCGCCUGGUUCGGAAAAGCGCUUUGGGUUCAUUUUUAU